Molecule: ribosomal RNA, 253 nt
Filed under: uncultured bacterium
Lineage: Bacteria
Description: partial 16S ribosomal RNA
Rfam family: Bacterial small subunit ribosomal RNA
Source: RNAcentral
UACAGAGGGGGCAAGCGUUAUUCGGAAUUAUUGGGCGUAAAGGGCGCGUAGGCGGCUUGGCAAGUGGCAGGUGAAAUCCCUCGGCUCAACUGAGGAACUGCCUUUGAAACUGUCUGGCUUGAGGCCGGGAGAGGGUAGCGGAAUUCCCAGUGUAGCGGUGAAAUGCGUAGAUACUGGGAGGAACACCGGUGGCGAAGGCGGCUACCUGGACCGGUUCUGACGCUGAUGCGCGAAAGCGUGGGUAGCAAACAGG